RNAcentral lists this ribosomal RNA (515 nucleotides) under uncultured bacterium. RNAcentral's name for it is "partial 16S ribosomal RNA". It matches the Rfam family "Bacterial small subunit ribosomal RNA", at positions 28 to 523 of the family's 1533-position model. The record is from RNAcentral.
GAUGAACGCUGGCGGCGUGCCUAAUACAUGCAAGUCGAGCGAAUGGAUUGAGAGCUUGCUCUUAUGAAGUUAGCGGCGGACGGGUGAGUAACACGUGGGUAACCUGCCCAUAAGACUGGGAUAACUCCGGGAAACCGGGGCUAAUACCGGAUAACAUUUUGAACCGCAUGGUUCGAAAUUGAAAGGCGGCUUCGGCUGUCACUUAUGGAUGGACCCGCGUCGCAUUAGCUAGUUGGUGAGGUAACGGCGCACCAAGGCAACGAUGCGUAGCCGACCUGAGAGGGUGAUCGGCCACACUGGGACUGCGACACGGCCCAGACUCCUACGGGAGGCAGCAGUAGGGAAUCUUCCGCAAUGGACGAAAGUCUGACGGAGCAACGCCGCGUGAGUGAUGAAGGCUUUCGGGUCGUAAAACUCUGUUGUUAGGGAAGAACAGGUGCUAGUUGAAUAAGCUGGCACCUUGACGGUACCUAACCAGAAAGCCACGGCUAACUACGUGCCAGCCGCCGCAGUAA